This 500-nucleotide ribosomal RNA is filed under the name uncultured bacterium. RNAcentral describes it as "partial 16S ribosomal RNA". It matches the Rfam family "Bacterial small subunit ribosomal RNA", at positions 30 to 523 of the family's 1533-position model. The record is from RNAcentral.
AUUGAACGCUGGCGGAAUGCUUUACACAUGCAAGUCGAACGGCAGCACGGACUUCGGUCUGGCGGCGAGUGGCGAACGGGUGAGUAAUACAUCGGAACGUGCCCAAUCGUGGGGGAUAACGUAGCGAAAGCUACGCUAAUACCGCAUACGAUCUAAGGAUGAAAGCGGGGGAUCGCAAGACCUCGCGCGAUUGGAGCGGCCGAUGGCAGAUUAGGUAGUUGGUGGGGUAAAGGCCUACCAAGCCGACGAUCUGUAGCUGGUCUGAGAGGAUGAUCAGCCACACUGGGACUGAGACACGGCCCAGACUCCUACGGGAGGCAGCAGUGGGGAAUUUUGGACAAUGGACGCAAGUCUGAUCCAGCCAUUCCGCGUGCAGGGUGAAGGCCCUCGGGUUGUAAACUGCUUUUGUACAGAACGAAAAGGCUCUGGUUAAUACCUAGGGCUCAUGACGGUACUGUAAGAAUAAGCACCGGCUAACUACGUGCCAGCAGCCGCAGUAA